CCUACGGGAGGCAGCAGUGGGGAAUUUUGGACAAUGGGCGCAAGCCUGAUCCAGCCAUGCCGCGUGUGGGAAGAAGGCCUUCGGGUUGUAAACCACUUUUGUCAGGGAAGAAACGGCCUUUUCUAAUACAGGGGGCUAAUGACGGUACCUGAAGAAUAAGCACCGGCUAACUACGUGCCAGCAGCCGCGGUAAUACGUAGGGUGCAAGCGUUAAUCGGAAUUACUGGGCGUAAAGCGUGCGCAGGCGGCUUUGCAAGACAGAUGUGAAAUCCCCGGGCUCAACCUGGGAACUGCAUUUGUGACUGCAUGGCUAGAGUACGGUAGAGGGGGAUGGAAUUCCGCGUGUAGCAGUGAAAUGCGUAGAUAUGCGGAGGAACACCGAUGGCGAAGGCAAUCCCCUCGGACCUGUACUGACGCUCAUGCACGAAAGCGUGGGGAGCAAACAGGAUUAGAUACCCUGGUAGUCCACGCCCUAAACCGAAUGUCAACUGGUUGUUGGACGGCUUGCUGUUCAGUAACGAAAGCUAACGCGUGAAGUUGACCGCCUGGGGAGUACGGCCGCAAGGUUGAAACUUAAAAGGAAAGUUGACGG
Molecule: ribosomal RNA, 592 nt
Filed under: uncultured bacterium
Lineage: Bacteria
Description: bacterial SSU rRNA
Rfam family: Bacterial small subunit ribosomal RNA
Source: RNAcentral